AGAUGGUUUAGUUUGUUUUCCUUUUCCGCUGCAUUUCGAUAGAUAAUUGUUUUUAUUUGUUUUUAAGUCGUGAAACUUGUGUAUUAAUUUGUCAUAGUGUGUACUCAGGCUGAUACCUGGACCGAGAUUUAAUACAUGCUAUUGUUCAGAAAUUUGGUGUAAAUUUCUGGGCGUGACAGUCAGCUAGGGCAGCGGUGGCUUGGGCACAUGAGGCGUGUGGCGUGGGGCUAGGCAUAGGAAACAAAUGGGAAAAAAGGUUUGGG
Molecule: long non-coding RNA, 263 nt
Filed under: Oryza brachyantha (malo sina)
Lineage: Eukaryota; Viridiplantae; Streptophyta; Magnoliopsida; Poales; Poaceae
Description: long non-coding RNA (OBRA_LNC000152)
Source: RNAcentral